This is a long non-coding RNA of Daphnia pulicaria, 757 nucleotides long. RefSeq lists it as uncharacterized. The record is from RefSeq and is a predicted model, not a curated record. Lineage: Eukaryota; Metazoa; Arthropoda; Branchiopoda; Diplostraca; Daphniidae. The transcript has 3 exons.
GCAAAUGUUUUAAACAGCCCAGGAUGAUCAGAUUACAUUAAUGCAGGAAGUGAAUAUUGUUCCAACUUCAUUGAAUAUUCAACCUCUCCAUGUUGAAAAGGGAGUGAGGGCUUGAAGAACAUUUUACCCAUUUUUUCUGUUGUUAUCUACCAGUCCAAAGUUACCCACCACUUAGUUCAAAUACAAUAACACUAAGUCUAAGCUGUUCAAGUAUAUAGUGUGACUCUGUGGCGGAUGAAGUACUCUGCCACCUCCAGUCUACAUGGGAGUCGAAGCAUUGAAUCACAGUUCAACAUCUGUCAUUUGACAUAGCCAAAAUUCAUAACGAUUGCGUUCAUUUUCGUUUGUUCUGUGCGCUACGGCCGGGGAUGAAACCGCAAGUGUUUGCAGUUUCACCGACUUCUCUCCAGUUGCCGGUGUAUCUCUUCAGGUAACAGUAACCGCCCGCGUGAGUAAAGUGGGUGCAUUGAGAGUUGGCGAUGCAGAUGCCUCCGCAUUGCUCACCGAGGCUGGGCUUGGCGCCGAUGACAUUGCCAACAAAAUGACAAUUGUAGUCCCAGCGAGACAAACCGUUGUCGCCUACCUGCCAGAAUCGAGCGGACACGGUGGUCAUGGACACGGCAGCCAUGAGCAGGAAAAUUGACAAGACCUUCAUUCUAUCAAAGACUGUAGGAAGGAGAUGGAACACACAGAUCAACUGAUGUUUCUUGGUUUGAAUCUCGAGUCGAAGUGUUUCCUUUUAUACGGGGGUGACUGC